GCGCGAUUAGCUCAGCUGGAUAGAGCGUCGGCCUCCGGAGCCGAAGGUCGCAGGUUCGAAUCCUGCAUCGCGCA
This 74-nucleotide transfer RNA is filed under the name Thiohalorhabdus denitrificans. It matches the Rfam family "tRNA". Rfam says of the family: Transfer RNA (tRNA) molecules are approximately 80 nucleotides in length. Their secondary structure includes four short double-helical elements and three loops (D, anti-codon, and T loops). The record is from Rfam by way of RNAcentral. Lineage: Bacteria; Pseudomonadati; Pseudomonadota; Gammaproteobacteria; Thiohalorhabdales; Thiohalorhabdaceae.